GUGCCAGCAGCCGCGGUAAGACGGAGGAUGCAAGUGUUAUCCGGAAUCACUGGGCGUAAAGCGUCUGUAGGUGGUUUAAUAAGUCGACUGUUAAAUCUUGAGGCUCAACCUCAAAAUCGCAGUCGAAACUAUUAGGCUAGAGUAUAGUAGGGGUAAAGGGAAUUUCCAGUGGAGCGGUGAAAUGCGUAGAGAUUGGAAAGAACACCGAUGGCGAAGGCACUUUACUGGGCUAUUACUAACACUCAGAGACGAAAGCUAGGGUAGCAAAUGGGAUUAGAUACCCCAGUAGUCCUAGCCGUAAACGAUGGAUACUAGAUGUUGAACAGAUCGACCUGUGCAGUAUUAAAGCUAACGCGUUAAGUAUCCCGCCUGGGAAGUAUGCUCGCAAGAGUGAAACUCAAAGGGAUUGACGGGGGCCCGCACAAGCGGUGGAGCAUGUGGUUUAAUUCGAUGCAACGCGAAGAACCUUGCCAGGGUUUGACAUGAUACGAAUUUCUUUGAAAGAAGAAAGUGCCGUUUGGAACGUAUACACAGGUAGUGCAUGGCUGUCGUCAGCUCGUGUCGUGAGAUGUUGGGUUAAGUCCCGCAACGAGCGCAACCCUCAUUUUUAGUUGCCUUAUGGAACUCUAGAAAGACUGCCGGUUAUAAACCGGAGGAAGGCGGGGAUGACGUCAAGUCAGCAUGCCCCUUACACCCUGGGCUACACACGUGCUACAAUGGGUGAGACAAUGAGAUGCAACUCUGCGAAGACUAGCUAAUCUAUAAACUCACUCUAAGUUCGGAUUGUAGGCUGCAACUCGCCUGCAUGAAGUUGGAAUCGCUAGUAAUCGCUGGUCAGCUACACAGCGGUGAAUUCGUUCCCGGGCCUUGUACACACCGCCCGUCACACCAUGGAAGCUGGUUAUGCCCGAAGUCGUUACUCUAACCGUUUGGAGGAGGAUGCCUAAGGUAGAAUUAGUGACUGGGGUGAAGUCGUAACAAGGUAACC
RNAcentral lists this ribosomal RNA (988 nucleotides) under uncultured diatom. RNAcentral describes it as "bacterial SSU rRNA". It matches the Rfam family "Bacterial small subunit ribosomal RNA", at positions 505 to 1501 of the family's 1533-position model. Lineage: Eukaryota; Bacillariophyta. The record is from RNAcentral.